GCUGACCGAACAAUCAACCGCAAAUAUACUAUACCGAACAAACAAAUCAUUUGCCCAACCCAGUAGUUGCGAUCGAACAGUUAUAAGUCAUAAUAGAGUACCGCAAGGGAACCAACACAAGCAAUAAACAGCAAAGACUAGCCCUUGUACCUUUUGCAUUAUGGUUUAGCAAGAACACAAGGACAAGAAGAAUCACAGCCCACCACCCCGAAACCGAAUGAGCUAUUUUCAAGCAGUCUAACGGACGCACCCUUCUAUGUAGCAAAAUAGUGGGAAGACUUUAAAAUAGAGGUGAAACGCCUAUCGAAUCCGGAGAUAGCUGGCUACCCCAAAAAGAAUCUAAGUUCUACUUUAGAUAAGCACUUAAACAGUUAACCGUCUAAAGACAGUCAACAGAGGUACAGCUCUGUUGACCCAGGAUACAACCUGAAUUUGCAAGAAACNNNAGUUCUACACCCAAACCCGUAGGCCNNNNNNNNNNNNNNNNNNNNNNNNNNNNNNNNNNNNNNNNNNNNNNNNNNNNNNNNNNNNCCAAAAACUUCAAAUCAACUAAAGGUGGACCUACACUAGUAAGUAUCAUUAUGCUAAAACUAAUAAUAAGACGCCAUCUCUUAACGCACCCCUCCACUAGAAACAGAAAAACUACUAGUUAUUAACAGACCACAAAAGGAAAACAAUAAACCCAUACAUACCUUAAAACCAACUGUGACCCCAACACAGGAGCGUUAAAAAGAAAGAUUAACUGUUAUAAAAGGAACUCGGCAACCAAGGACUCCAACUGUUUAACAAAAACAUAACCUUUAGCCAAACAAGUAUUAAAGGCAACGCCUGCCCAGUGAAAAUUAAACGGCCGCGGUACCCUAACCGUGCAAAGGUAGCAUAAUCAUUUGUCUAUUAAUUGUAGACCUGUAUGAAAGGCAAAAUGAGAGCCCAACUGUCUCCUAUAACAAAUCAAUUAAACUGAUCUCCUAGUACAAAAGCUAGAAUACCAACAUAAGACCAGAAGACCCUGUGAAGCUUUAACUAACCUAUUAAGCCUAAUAAUAGCUACUUUCGGUUGGGGCGACCUUGGAAUAAAAAAGAACUUCCAACACUAUGACUUACCAUAAAACAAGGCAAACAGGCCAACAUUAGACCCAGUAUCACUGACAAUUGAAAUAAGUUACUCCAGGGAUAACAGCGCUAUCUUCUUUAAGAGCCCAUAUCAAAAAGAAGGUUUACGACCUCGAUGUUGGAUCAGGACANNACCCUAAGCGGGACACAUCUGGUACUGAGAUGCCUCAUCUUAAUAGCCCUACGUGAUCUGAGUUCAGACCGGAGCAAUCCAGGUCAGUUUCUAUCUAUGAACGCCCUACCUAGUACGAAAGGACCGGUACAGCAAAGCCAAUGCAACAUG
This 1396-nucleotide ribosomal RNA is filed under the name Bothriechis lateralis. RNAcentral describes it as "partial 16S ribosomal RNA". It matches the Rfam family "Bacterial large subunit ribosomal RNA", at positions 440 to 2718 of the family's 2925-position model. The record is from RNAcentral. Lineage: Eukaryota; Metazoa; Chordata; Lepidosauria; Squamata; Viperidae.